This 401-nucleotide long non-coding RNA is filed under the name Homo sapiens (human). RNAcentral's name for it is "non-protein coding lnc-NME8-1:1". Lineage: Eukaryota; Metazoa; Chordata; Mammalia; Primates; Hominidae. The record is from RNAcentral.
UGGAACCAGAUUGAGUUUCAUGCCAAACAGGUGUUUCUCAAGGAGGAAGCAAGACAGCCCACAGAAACCCUUGUAGCCAGCCAGAGCUCCAACAAGCCCUUGAGAGACCCUGAGACUCCCAGAUCUUCAGGUUCUAUGUGCAAUAGAUGGAAGCCAAAUGGCAAGAUACUAGGGAGAUUGUCCCUCACCAUUCUGCAGGAGAACAACUCGUCUGGCACCCUGACACCAUGACAGGUAAAGCAAGAGAAGGGUAAGCAGUCUUCACUAAGUGAAAAUGUUAGUGAACUAAAGGAAGGAGCCAUUCUUGGAACUGGGCAACUUCUGAAAAGUGGAAGACAGCAUGGGAGCAAGGCCAGGACAAUGACAAGGAAAAUCAGCACUUUCCCUUGGUGGAGUGCUAA